UACGUAGGGGGCAAGCGUUGUCCGGAAUCAUUGGGCGUAAAGAGCGUGUAGGCGGCCAGAAAAGUCCGCUGUGAAAACUCGAGGCUCAACUUCGAGCUGUCGGUGGAAACUUUCUGGCUAGAGUCCGGAAGAGGAGAAUGGAAUUCCUGGUGUAGCGGUGGAAUGCGCAGAUAUCAGGAAGAACAUCGGUGGCGAAGGCGCUCUGCUGGACCAUAACUGACACUCAGGGACGAAAGCUAGGGGAGCGAAUGGG
This 253-nucleotide ribosomal RNA is filed under the name uncultured bacterium. RNAcentral's name for it is "partial 16S ribosomal RNA". It matches the Rfam family "Bacterial small subunit ribosomal RNA", at positions 524 to 776 of the family's 1533-position model. The record is from RNAcentral.